This 534-nucleotide unclassified non-coding RNA is filed under the name Hevea brasiliensis (rubber tree). The record is from RNAcentral. Lineage: Eukaryota; Viridiplantae; Streptophyta; Magnoliopsida; Malpighiales; Euphorbiaceae.
AGAAGAUCGUGUGGCUGUUGUUGGAGGACAUUUAAAGGCUGCUCCUAAUCCUUCAUCUGAUAAGGCAUCUCAAGUUCCAACUCGAACCCGUCCACCCAUUACAACUCAUGUCUUAGAUGUUUCUCGGGGUUGUCCAGCCACUGGUGUUGAGGUGCGUUUGGAGAUGUGGAAGGGCAGUCAACCCCGUCCCUUGUUUGAUAAGACAGAUAUUGGUGGUUGGAUAUUUCAGGGGUCUUCGAUUACAGAUGUGGAUGGGCGAAGUGGUCAAUUGAUGAGCAUUGUUAAUGAUGUGAACCCUGGAAUAUACAGAAUAAGUUUCAACACAGGCAAGUACUGUCCAUCUGGGUUCUUUCCAUAUGUUUCUAUUGUGUUUGAAAUCAAAGAAUCACAGAACAGGGAACAUUUUCAUGUUCCUCUGCUGCUUUCACCAUUCUCAUUCAGUACAUACCGUGGCAGCUAGAGCCUUGGUAUGUCAGUUGACAAACCAUGUUUUUUUAGAUGAAACUUUUCCAUUGCGAAUGUAGUAAAUACUCU